CCCCUACUGCCUGUCAGUUACCGUUCUACGGGACAUAGCAGAGAACUAAACAAGAAGCUUAGAUUCUGGCGCAGGCAUGGAACUUCAGAAGGCUCAAAAUGUGCUGGCUGGGUGCUGAGUGUGGCAGGAGCCAGGGGGCACAUGCAAGCCCGCGCAGCCCACCCCGUACCAGGGAAGCAGCAGCAGCAGCCCAAAGGGUAGCAAGGACAAUUGUGGGGAACAUCCAGAGGAAAACGUUUAGAUCCACAGACUCCGAGAAGCCCUGUGCAAAGAUGUGGCAGCUCAUGCGGUCUGGAAAUUGUUUGGGAGAACACUUGGGGACCCCUUACCCUGGCGAGGUGCCUGUGAACGUUGCCGCCUGUCUGUGGGAGACGCUGAAGCAGCUUCGGAUGACCACACUUGCUAACCAGCUCCCGAGCCGGGGGCCACUGUGAUGUUCUGAGAGUUUUUAUUGUAUGCUUGUGUCUUGGAAUGGGGUGCCUCGAAUGAGCCUUCUCAGUGACCUGAGGACUUUGUGAGGUGACCUCUGACCUUCAGAUACCCCAGGUUUCUGGAAGAUGCCUUUCUCCAUCAUCCUGGAUCGGGGCUUUCCCAGCUUCGCCUACACCUGGGAGGCGCGAGUAGCCAGAUGAAGUCUUUCUGGUCUUGCUGGUCAGAGCCAGAAGGGCCAGUGCCCGGUCCAGGAGCCUCUCGCAGGCCUUGGGCUGCCCAUCCAGGCGUGGCCUCUCCUUGGCCCUUUGGACGACGACGCUGCAUUUUCCUCUUGGUCUCGGCCUCCCUGCCCACCAUGAGAGUGGCCAUGAGAGUGACCAUCUCCAAGGAGGCAGCUGGGUCUUUUCCACUCCCCAUGGCAGGGAGCCAGCUGUCUUCACGCCCUCACCCUAGUGAAGUGGCUGAAUUGCCAGGACUGAUC
Molecule: long non-coding RNA, 913 nt
Filed under: Pan troglodytes (chimpanzee)
Lineage: Eukaryota; Metazoa; Chordata; Mammalia; Primates; Hominidae
Description: long non-coding RNA NONPTRT002462
Source: RNAcentral